Molecule: ribosomal RNA, 393 nt
Filed under: uncultured bacterium
Lineage: Bacteria
Description: partial 16S ribosomal RNA
Rfam family: Bacterial small subunit ribosomal RNA
Source: RNAcentral
AUACGGAGGAUCCGAGCGUUAUCCGGAUUUAUUGGGUUUAAAGGGAGCGUAGGCGGACUAUUAAGUCAGCUGUGAAAGUUUGCGGCUCAACCGUAAAAUUGCAGUUGAUACUGUGUGUCUUGAGUACAGUAGAGGUGGGCGGAAUUCGUGGUGUAGCGGUGAAAUGCUUAGAUAUCACGAAGAACUCCGAUUGCGAAGGCAGCUCACUGGACUGUUACUGACACUGAGGCUCGAAAGUGUGGGUAUCAAACAGGAUUAGAUACCCUGGUAGUCCACACAGUAAACGAUGAAUACUCGCUGUUUGCGAUAUACAGCAAGCGGCCAAGCGAAAGCAUUAAGUAUUCCACCUGGGGAGUACGCCGGCAACGGUGAAACUCAAAUGAAUUGACGGGG